AAGAGUAAUUAAAUCGACGACACCUCAAGUGUUUUGAACGAACAAGUACUCACGUAAGGUGGUGUGCAGAAGAUGGACUGACACCACAUUGGUUCCGAAUGGUAACAGACGCAGAGACUGCAAACCGCAGGUCCUGGUACAUAAAGGAGACCGUGUCGAACGAUCGCUCCUUGGAAAUCCGUGCAAUUCUCCUCCAACGCGGCUGAAAAAUGAUUUUCACUUGAAUGUCUUCGAUACUUGGUUGCAUGCUCGGUUGCAUGUGUUGUUAAUUAUCGUGCGCACUAAUUUUUGUUCGAUAGAUCCGCAUUGCAGUUUUCAUGAACUGUUCAACUCUCGACUUACCGGCCCUCGACGGAAGGAGAAGAAGAAGAAUGGCGGGCAGAUAGAAUACCCACACGAGUAUUUUCGAGUAGAGGCUCGAACUACUCUUCAUGGUCCUCGAUUGAGUUGGCCACAGAAGAUCAAA
Molecule: long non-coding RNA, 466 nt
Organism: Apis florea (little honeybee)
Lineage: Eukaryota; Metazoa; Arthropoda; Insecta; Hymenoptera; Apidae
Source: RefSeq, a predicted model, not a curated record